This 950-nucleotide non-coding RNA is filed under the name Poropanchax normani. RNAcentral's name for it is "12S ribosomal RNA". It matches the Rfam family "Bacterial small subunit ribosomal RNA". The record is from RNAcentral. Lineage: Eukaryota; Metazoa; Chordata; Actinopteri; Cyprinodontiformes; Procatopodidae.
CAAAAGCUUGGUCCUGACUUUAUUAUCCGCUCUAGCAAAACUUACACAUGCAAGUAUCCGCACCCCCGUGAGAAUGCCCUACAGUUUCCCCUGAAGGAAACAAGGAGCGGGUAUCAGGCACAUUUCUUCAUAGCCCAUGACACCUUGCUUUGCCACACCCUCAAGGGUUUUCAGCAGUGAUAAACAUUAAGCAAUAAGUGAAAACUUGACUUAGUUAAAGCUAAAUAGGGCCGGUCAAACUCGUGCCAGCCACCGCGGUUAUACGAGAGGCCCAAGUUGAUAAUUAUCGGCGUAAAGCGUGGUUAAGGGCCUAACAAAACUAAAGCUGAACCCUCUCAAUGCUGUUAUACGCUCCCGAGAGUAUGAACCCCAACAACGAAAGUGGCUUUAAAUAACCUGACCCCACGAAAGCUGUGGAACAAACUGGGAUUAGAUACCCCACUAUGCACAGCCCUAAACUUUGAUAAUAAGAUACAAUUAUUAUCCGCCUGGGUACUACGAGCAUAAGCUUAAAACCCAAAGGACUUGGCGGUGCUUUAGACCCCCCUAGAGGAGCCUGUUCUGUAACCGAUAACCCCCGUUCAACCUCACCUUUUCUUGCCGUUUCCCGCCUAUAUACCGCCGUCGUCAGUUUACCCUGUGAGGGAACUACAGUAAGCAAAAUUGACAAAGUCCAAAACGUCAGGUCGAGGUGUAGCAUAUGAAAAGGGAAGAAAUGGGCUACAUUUCCUGCUCUCAGGAAAUACGAAUUAUGCCAUGAAACAGCAUAUGAAGGAGGAUUUAGUAGUAAGUGAAAAAGAGAGUGUUUCACUGAACCCGGCCCUGAAGCGCGCACACACCGCCCGUCACUCUCCCCGAGCUAACUACACUAAUUCUUAAUAAACCAUUCUAAGCAAAGGGGAGGUAAGUCGUAACAUGGUAAGUGUACCGGAAGGUGCACUUGGAAAAAC